This is a long non-coding RNA of Lepisosteus oculatus (spotted gar), 1128 nucleotides long. RefSeq lists it as uncharacterized. Lineage: Eukaryota; Metazoa; Chordata; Actinopteri; Semionotiformes; Lepisosteidae. The record is from RefSeq and is a predicted model, not a curated record.
AACCCUGCCUUGAGUUUGUCUCAGUUUCAGGUUCUCAGAUGUAGUCCCCAGUCCCCCUAAUCUUCUCUUUGUCACCUCAGACUACAGUCUUUGCUCUACCUGAUUCAGAGCUCUUUCAACACCUUGUCGGGCCCAGUGUAACAGAAUGUCUGGGCUUACUAAAUCCAGAGCCAGGUGGCAGAAAAAAAUCAGGACCCAGGGCCGCUGACACAGCGCAACACCUCAGAAUCCUGCUUGAGUAAGUCCUUCCGGAGACUCCACGGUUAACAUCUCCUGCCUCCUCCAUGGACACGAUACUCCCUGCCUCUAAUCCUGAGCUGCUCCAGUUGCAAGUCCAGCCCCAGCCUAGAGGUCGGCGCUCACCUCAGAUGAUCUCAGCCUUUCCUCAGUCACAGUUACAGGUUCCAGGUUUUUGGAUGCUCCGACCCUCAUCUCUGUCAAAUGUCUCAAACUCCGGCCUCAGUCUUCUGCUCUGAGGGGAUUUGCAUCACAGCCUCAGUUCCCCAUACCAUGGAUGCUUCAGCCUCUGUUCCAGAUCUCAGCUUGGAUGCCUCCUCAGCCUCAGAAUACAGGUCAGUGACUGUCUCUUCUGCCGAAACCUUCAAGAGGGCAUCAACCAAGAUUGCUGCCUCCAAACUCUUUCUAUGGGGCUCCAAACCAGUGUUUCAGACUCGGAAGAGCCCAUGCAAAUUGGGGAGAUGAAACUCUCAGUAGAAGAAAGGGAAAAAAGAUAUCGAGGUAAACUUUGUAUGUACUGUGGAAAGAAGGGCCAUUGGGAAAAGGACCUGCCCUGAGUUAUUGGGGAAACAGGCUCCGCUCAGUAAAGAAGGAGGGAAGGGGGGGAAGAGAAUUAAACGGUUGACUAAUUCAACAAUUCACAUAGAAAUUUGCUGCUUAUAUUGAUUUCAGAUAAUUUGGUCUCAUGUUGACUAUACCUUUUUGUUUUUUUUGAGAUGUAAUAUACUCCAGAGGAUGUGUGUCAAGUUUCAAUCUGCCAUCUUCCAUUUGUAUGUAACAACAAGGUUGAUAUGAUGUCUGUUCUGGAUUCAUCUGUUGCUCUUUAAGAUUUACUUUUAAAGAAAAACAAGAUUGAGACAAAAGUAAUAAAAUACGUGUCUCAGCAUCAUU